RNAcentral lists this long non-coding RNA (9863 nucleotides) under Setaria viridis. RNAcentral describes it as "long non-coding RNA (SVIR_LNC011423)". Lineage: Eukaryota; Viridiplantae; Streptophyta; Magnoliopsida; Poales; Poaceae. The record is from RNAcentral.
CAGAGACCCUGAAGAAGCAAAGGAGGAGGAGGAAGCUGCUGCUGCCCCUGAAUUCGCUGCUAUCACUGAUUACCAAGCACCUGAACAGUGGGGUGGCGACCAGUGGACCUCUGAUGUGGCUCAGCCUGUUGCUGUUGGUGGCACUGGUGCUGAGUGGGGUGCUGCUGCAGGUAUGUACUGAUAAAAUUUUAUCAUCUUUGGUAUGGAACUCAUGCAGAAAUCUAGCUGUGUUGAAAUGGAAACUAUAUAACCCACACCUUGCUCUAUGCCCUGAGUUGCUCUUAUAAGUUUGUUGUGGUAACACGAAGUGAUCACAUUUUUCUUUGCAGCUCCGGUUCCUACUGGCGAUGGCUGGGAUCCAGCUGGUGCUCCCCCUCCACCUGUGGAAGGUGCCGUACCUCCGGCUGUUGCUCCUACUGGAUGGGACCCAGCAGCCCAACCCCCCGCUCAAGGCUGGGAGUAGGCAUAGGCCCUCGCUUCGUGAUGUGUCUUCUGCGGCUUAAAAUCAGUGUUUUCUGAAGUAUGAAUGUCCAAAAUCAGACGCAUCUUCUAUAGCUAUGCAUUGAACACUUCUGUUUUAGGGCGUUCUAGCUGAACUUCUUGUGCCCCUGUUCUGUUUUCAACAUUUCUGUGCCAUGAUGGAGAGAGCUUGGGAGAUUAUGUGGUAUAAGUAGCUUUUGUUUCUGUUGCUUAUAUUGCAUGGAUCUGUGCGAUGUGAUGGUUCUAUAUAAUAUAUUCAGUCUGUUAUGAAAAUCUGGAUGCCAUGGAUUUUGUGCGGUAUGAUUCUCCCAGUUACUUUGAAAUUUGAUACAAUUGGACUGAAUGUCUUGUUGUCAUGCGUGGCCUCGUAAUCUGAAUGAUGCGUCUGUGCCUUGAAUUGCAUGUUUCGAAAAAUUGGCGUUCCCACGAUCUAUAGUGUCACUAAUUCUACGAACCACUUCGUUCCGUCGUUCAGGAUUAAUAGCUACGCUUCUUACCAGGUCUCGGAUGUUGGUGCGCAUACCUACAUCAGAUGUUCAAUUUGCAAGUGAUUCAGUUUUGAGUAGGUACUCACAUUCACAGGGAAACGGUGCUACAAGGCACUACUCUCUUGCUAUUGCAGCAUCUGGCAUCAAUUACGUUCUGCAGCUAAAUGGGCUCCAACAAGCUGCAAACGGGAGUGUCUACUGGGCAUCCGAGUGUUUCUCGGGUACCUAGCACUCAAAUUUUUUUUUCAGCCAUGCGAUUUGCAUCCAACGGCACUGGAGUCAUCUUCUUCCUCUCAUGUCCGCUCGUUAUUCCUUUCUAUGAGUGUGCGACGUUUCGCUCCAAUAAUCUACGGAGGAUUUGGGAGCGUGGGCGGCACCGGGUCGGGGAAUAGGCCGUGGGUCGCGGGGAUCGAUGGUGAUGGGGCUAGCGGAGGUCGCCGGCGGCACCUCGGGUUCAUCGGCUGCUCCGGCGUUGGCCUGGAAGAUUUUCGAAUUGUCCCGUGGUUUGGAUCGUGAUUAUUAAAGGAUCCUUUUGUAAAUUUUGACUUAAAUAAAUUUCAUAAGAACCUCUUGUUCAAAAUUGGGGGUCCUUUCAUAAAUUCGACUCAAAUAAAUUUCAAAAAACCCUUGGUUUGGAUAGCGAUUAUUAAUCGCGAUCCAAAUUGGCGAUCCUUUUGUAAAUUAUUGACGAUAUCUCCAAUAAUCUGCUCUGCUCCGGCAGCUUGACGCGCGAUUCACCGCGCGCAUCCGAGCCGAGCGAUAACCUGCGGUUGAGCUCUGGCGGUCGGUCCCGGCGGCGGCGUCUCCUCCCGGAACUGGACGCAGCGUGCCGGUCCUGGUAUAGCCCGUCCUGGUGAGCUUCUCCCUGGACCAGAUCUCCACGGCCCCGUUCCUGGAUCCUAGAUAGAUGAGGUCCGCGCUGGCCACCAGCGACCGCGCCUCCAUCGACGGCGGCAUCGACCCGACCAGCUUGUAGUUUGCGACAGUUACACACCUGCGUGCCGCCGCAGCCGUCAGAAACCUGAAGAUUGAGUUGAUGCAAGUGUUCACUGUUCAGUUCGUUUCAGUAGCUUUACCUUAACGACGUGCCGUCCAUGGAAGGAGUGCUUCCGGCCGGUGCAGAGCAAUCCUCUUGCUGCCGGACUGGAUUACACCCAGCGUGCCACUCGCCAGAUCGAUUUCCUGUCAUCGUCGAUCACAUUCAGUCAAUGCCAUCCAUCAUCCGUGCCUCUAGUAGCUUCCACUUGAAAUGGAUGCGCUGCUUCUGAAGAUUUCAGCAGCUAGCAGAUAACUGAAUGCUGCUGUCGCUGCAGCCGCAGAAAAGCUUGCCGUGCCGCGCACCAGCGCCAUGGACCUCACGUACUUGUUGGGUAUCAGCUACAGUACAUAAUUACAGGUUCUAGGGUAAUACAGAAAAAAAACAAGCAUAGAAGUCACUAAUUGCCCUAGCCUUUAGCUCUCUGUAGCAUGUUGCAAGGCAUGAUCUAUUUAGAUCAGACUCGACGAUCGACCUCAUGCCAGAAGCGGCAUUAGACUCAAGAAUCACCCGUUCCAUUCCCAGGGAAGCAGCAUGCUCCAUUCCUUUCAAACAGGCAAGAGCUUCAGCAUGCUGAGUAAUCAGCAACCAUUAUACCUGACCAGAAUGGUCUCCAAUAACAAAACCCAACCUACUUUGCCAGUUUCCAUUUAGCUUUAUUCAUCAGGUGCGAAAACAACAGAAGGUAUUGACGGCGAAAGAAAAUUACCUCGGAAUAUAAAAAAAUUACUGUCAUCUACAUGUGUCCGUGAUUGAGCCGCUGCCCAUGAAUUUCUGCUAAAUAGAACAUGAGGCGGCGUCUGCCUGCAUCUGUUUUGUCCUUGCGAGGCGGGUCACGGAUUCGCCGUUCGCGCGCCCCGUCUCGGUUGAAUUUCAACUUAAAAAGUUGAUAGAUGCACAAGCACAGUCGGGUUUCAAAUGUAUGUCCACAAAAUCUGCAGCGUGUCUAAAAGAAGAAAUCUUACAAUGGGAGAACCUGCAACGCACGGACACUGGCAGUGACAAGCACCGUACGUGCGAAAAGCGAUGGGCGUGCACGACGCCGCAGCUCAUGAGCUCUCUGACGCGUAACAACGCGCCAUAGCAUCAGAUGGAUGCGUACCAGAACAAUACAAACGGAAACAGACAAACAGAGGCCUCCGAAAUUGAACUGAUAUAAGCAGCAAAUAUUUCUAUUUCUGUAACAUACUAUUUACAACAAUAGUGCUCUUUUUUCACCUUUUUUCUUCCUUUUUUUUAAAAAAUACUUUUUUAUAUUUUUUUCAUAAUUUCUAUGGAGAAAGGGAAAAUGUAAGCUAAGCUAAAAGAAUCAGAUAUACUUUGGCCUAUUUAUUGUCUAAGCUAUGGUCAAAUUCUUCACCACAGCAAAUUGAAUCCUGUACCCAACCCAGCCGCCGACAUCUCCUCUGAUUACUUCCAGUGAUCACAACCACGAUGGUGCGAGGCUUCUCCCAUGGCCGUCAUCUCUUCAGUCCCAUCUCUUAUGCAGGCAGAUGCGCCUAGCCAUCAGCCAUUUGAUCUGCUCUAGCCGUCAGCCAUUUCCUGCUGCUCAAAAUUCCUACAGAGUUGUCACCGAGACAAAAAGUUCGCCACCUAGUAGCAAAGCAUGCCUCCAUUAGCGACCCAGUGCGCGAAGCGGUCAGAAUAGUCCCUAGUGUCUGAGAGCUGGCUGCUCGAACGAGACAGAUCCGUGUCAUCCCUUCCCUGCAAAAUUGAAAAAAGUUCAUGCCAUGAAAUUCGGAUAUAAGGGAAAGCAGUGCAACAGUAAGCCCAGUUGCUUAUAAUUCUCAUUGCCACGUUCAGAUAGAUAGAUUAAGGAAAGGUUUAAUAACAAGGCUAACCUCAUCGAGGUGUCCUUGUUCGCUAUAGGACGUAGAUGAUUCUACACUGAUCUCAUCCAUAGGCGAAUUGAUCAGCGACGACCUGCAAAUCACGAUUUGAAAAAUUGAAACACCCUAACAAUGCAAAGAGAGUGGUAGGAUAUGAAAACUAGUGGCAGCAAAUGUUACCUCUCAAAAACUUCCUCAUCACAGGAAUUCCCCGAAGAUGACAACAAAUCAAGAUCAAGAAAAUUUGAGGAAUGCAACUCAGGGUAACCUAAUCUUUUCAGAUAACUCUGCCGCUCUUCUGACAUGGAGUGCCUUGCAGGCACUGUGCCAUAGUUCAUACUGAAUAUAUAGAAAACACGGUUAAUAUUAAAUUCAUGGAACGAACAAGUUUUCCAGUAGCCUCCAAUUUCGUGUAAGGAUAGACGCACCUGGAGCAUGGGUUAGGUUCACAUAUGGAGAUAUCUGGUGCAGAAUCAGAAGGCUCUCUAAUAUCAUCCAGCGGUUGCAUAGGAAGCAACGCAGUGUUGUUUUCUCCACUAUUGCAGUUAGAUACAGGUAGGCUGUUCUCCAACAAAAUAUUACCAUCUGAUAGCGACCUCUUUAUGAAUGAUCUGAUGUAGCGAGAUGAGGAUUACUAAAUUAGAAGAGUCUGACGAACCAAUACAAGAAUAGUACAAUUGACAGAACUACCGGCCAGUCUAGACUGCUGAAAUAUCUAGUUUUUGUUGUCCUAAGUUCUUGUUGCCCCAAAUUUUGCAAUUUCAAACAAUGCCCAUUGCUCUCCUAUUAUUCUAUUAAUACAUCAGUUGUAUAGUCAUUUGUAAGCUUUGUUGCUCUAAGCCUAUGAAUUUGCACUUUGAAAUAAGGUGUAUAUCGACAACCCUGCUACAUUUUCAUGAGACAAUCUGCUAUUUUCACAGCUAGAGAAAAGAAUUUGCAGUAAGUGGUAAACCAUCAUAUUAAAAUGUCAAACGUAUAAAUAAAAAGCUGAGUAUAAAUAUAUCCAUUUGAAAAAGUAUUGGAAGCUUAUAAUCUGCACCUUGCAAUCUCUUCUUUUAAAGUUCCUUGCCUCCCAAUGUUGUAAUGCUGAUCGGAGUCCAACUUCCAUAAUGCAGGUUUCCCUUGUUGAGGUUGGAAAUGACCUAAGAACCUGCAUGUUUUAGGAUAGAUAAACCAGUUUGUGGUAAGCGCAAAUAUAACACAUAAAUGUCAGUGCUUUCCAUUGGUUCCAUCAUUUCUAAAUAAUAUUGUUUUGCAAUACAUUGAGAAGCUUACACGUUUAUAGCAUCCUGCUUGUCAUGAUCAGUGUAGGCGUUAUUGUAGUAGCGUUGAAGGGUUCGAAGGAACUCCUGAGAUUGGGUUGCUGCCUUCCAUUGGCCUCUUUGCUCACAGAAGAUCUGCGGCACAUAUGAGUAACAUGGAAAUUUAGACUGAUGUACUACCUCUGGACCUUAAUAGAUGACGUUCAGACCAAUAUUUUUUUACUUGCUGCUACCUCAUUCCUCUGGCCAGGAACGUCAAAUAUUCCGGACCGGAGGGAGUAAGUCAAGCAAGCAAUUUGGAACAGUUAGGAAUCUUUUUACAACAAGUUGACUAUUAUCUCGGAUACAGCAGAAUCACUUUGGAAGAAAGUAUUCACGUCGUUCAGAGCAUUUUACGCAUCUUUCAAAGUGUUCAGAUGCCAUAGAUUUAAGGUGUUUACAGUUAGAAAAGAAAUAAGCACAGCAUUAUGAGUUGUACUCUUCGGUAGUGAAAUAUUUCCGGAGUAAGCUAAUAUAAUAUGAGAUACCUUGUUGUGAGCUGCAGAACCACCAUAUUGAAUAGCUAAUGUAUCACCCAUUCGUUCAUAGAAAUCCAUCAGAUCGUCAGCCAGAGGAGCAUGCAAUUCAAUUUUAGGUGCUUCAGUAAGCCCCAGCGCAUGAAGUUGACGCCUUAAAGCAGCUAAACCGUAUGCAAAUUGUGCAACAUUUGUGCGGUCCAAGCAGUCUAUACAAUUUGUCCUGAGGACACCCUUCUGUAACAAAAUAGGUACCAACUUAGCUACGCAUUCGCUUUGCACGCUGCUACUUUUGUCAUCAUGUGGUUUGGUAACAGUUCUUUCGCCACUGUAAUAAAUGGAUAAAAGGUAUUAGGACUUACAAAUAGACAAAAGACAUGUGAUUUCUAAUAUAUUAAUUCGACAUAAAGACUUGGAAAAACAUGUUGUAAAAAUCAAAUUUUGGUGAAGGUGUAUAUUCUUUAAGAAAUUUAGGGAACUGUAACAUCCUAUGAUUUGUCAGCUACAUGUUAUGGUUUCCUAAGAAAAAGUUCUCUUAGUAAACUUUAGACCAGAAGCUACCUUGUGGCAUCCUCAGAUUUGGCUGAUGUACUUAUUUUGCAGUGGAGGAAUUCAGUUAGAUCCAACACAUCCGAUGCCACCUUGUUUAACAGUGCAAGCACAUUGGUACCUUUCCUGGAAGCAGCAUUUAGUACUUCGCAUUAAGGUACUUACAAGAUAAUCCACUAACAUAUCAAGGGAGAUCUUACAAAAGAUUCGCUUGGAAUACAAUAAAUUACCUUCGAGAAAGCUUACUCAAAUCCAUGUGUAAAAAUUUUAGACGCUUGUCCUCUGUUAGCCCCUUAUUAAUGUAAUGGAUAGCCUUAGCAAAUUCUGCACGGAGCAAAGAUUCACGAGGCUUCUUCUCGCGGGUCUGAUAAAAGACAAUUAAUGGAUCCAAAGGGAAUAUUCAGAUUUAUAACAAAGAGCAAAAGGCUGUCAAGUUGGCGAAUAAACUCUUAGAUGUAGAAGUGAGUGACAAUAUAAGCUGAAGACAAGAAACAUCAUUCAUGUCAAAGUAUGAACAACAUUGAUGUUGCGCUUGCCUUUAUUAAGUUCAAGAUGAUUAUUGGAUUCCCAUAUCUAAGUGCAAGGUUCUCAAAAUGAAGACGAGUCGCCUUGUAGUCCACAUCGGCUUUUACUGCAACAGCAAGGCAGUUGGAAUAUCAGGUGAGACAGUCCAAGAUACAAACUCAUAACGAAUUUAGUGGAAGAACUUACAAAUAAUAUCUGGUCUAAUAUUAAGUCUUGAAGUUUCCUGAAACCAGACAAGAGGUAUUGAUCCUCUAUGUUGUACAACAGAAGCCAUGUGACUUGGGAUUCCAUCAGAUGUGUCUUCAAAAACAAUCUGUUCAGUCUCAACAUCAUUGGCGACCCUGCCCUUUUCAUUCACACCCCGUUUCAAGAAUCUAAAAUUCAAAAUGAACAAAGAAGUAUGCAGAAAGUGGUUAACAAACUACUGUUGAGAUGAAAGGAAUGUGGAAUUGGCUACUUAUAAAUGUAAUUUUUAUCUAAAUUAAACUAUAAAUCUAAAGGCUUAGAAGUUGUAACAAAAACCUCGUUCCAGCAAAAUGGCGCGAGCGCCUAGCUAUAAGUGUCAACCAAAAAUCCUUCCCGGAUACUGAGAGCUUCGACUGCCAAACCAAAACAAGUGUAUUAGCAUGUCUUCCUACAGCACAUGGUUUGUAAUGCCAAUUUUACGAUAUGCUUUUGUGGUCCUUGAACUAGGAUCAAGAGACAGUGCCCAACACUUACUUGCUAAGGAAUGUUAAAACAGAAAAAAUAUAGCAAUGAAUUUCAUAACUAAGCAUUAGGGGAAAACAAUUAAACUGUCCAGACUAUAUGAUGUUACUCUGUAUCAGCAACAUACAAAAGAUAAAUUAGAAGAACUGAACAAAAACAAUAACAGUCUGCUGAGACUUACGAGCAAAUGUUCGACUCAGGAAAGCCUCAAGCAGCUCAAACUGAAAAAUGUCAGCAGGUUAUACAAAGCCAUGCCUUUGCAAACCCUUUAUUCAAGCUUUCACUAUAUAUCAGGUCAUGAGACGUGGAGUGAAACGCCUAAGUUAGUUGGGUGGCAUUGAGUUAGCAGCAGCCCUACUUGUGGUCUUCGAUGAUGAAUAGACAGUACUGGUGAUUCGGAUAAGCUCAUUAAUCAGAAUUUUAAAGGAGGGAUCAAUUAACACACUAACAAAAGAACUUUAAACUUAGUUGUCCCAAAAAGAACAUACCUGUUUAAAAAAUCCAUGGACUAAGGCAACAGUCCAACUGGUAUUCUUGAGAUGAUUCCGAAUUGCUCGCGUCAGAAAUUCAUUCCAUACAAACAUUGUUUCAUAAACAACCUGUCCAGUAUUCUUCUCAGUUAUGUUCUUCUGAAGGCUGCGCAUGAUGUUGUAAGAGUAGCUGAAGAAGAAAUCCUUUGAAAGAUCAACCGAGCAAAGUAGGCGCUUAUAUCUACAGAAAAUGAGAGACGAGAACAUAAAUCACUUCAGAAAAUUUGAAACUUGUAGUGUAUAUCUGAAAAUGAAUAUUACAAGUAGAAUGCUACUGGAGCAAGAAAAUUUGAAACUUUUCUAUAUACCUCCAACCACAUGAACACCUUACACAAGGCUCAGAACUGCAAGAAUUCCCAUUAUGUAUACUGGCUAUAUGAGUUGGAUGGAUAUUGUUUCUCAACAGGAAAAUUUAUACACAUAAGAGAGAUGUGAACAAAUAUUACUCUAUCGCUGUACAAUCAAACAACAUCAUGCAGAUUUCCCCAUGCUCUACUGGAACAUAAAUAAGGGAUCCCCAUAAAUAAUGAAGAGAGCUUAGUAUGUCAUCAUGCAAUUCAAUGCAAAACAGUACAACAAGGGGGAAAGAUGCAUCGACACCAAAAUUGUGUCUCAACACAACAUAGCAACCAAACGAGCUCAAAAUUCAAAUACGUGGAAAAAAGGGUAAACAAUGAGAUAAAUUAAUAAGAAAGCUAGAAAAUGUACGCUAGAAUGCAAGCUGGCAUUUUUGUUAAGAACCAAUAAUGGAAUUACAACAGGCAGUACACAAUAUUUACAUGUUGAAAAAAUAAAAGACCUGUUCUCAUCCCUAGAAUAAGCCACGUUGGGCCAGACUAUAACACUUGGAAUUGUGAUCAUUUCACUCUUGCCAAUGGAAUAGAUUUCAUGGCCGCAUAUUGUGCCAACUUUCCUUCUCCUGGUUAUUACAACCAUGUAAUAAGGACCAAGAAACUUUACAAAACCUGAAUAAGCAAAGAAUUAAAUGUUAUAAUUUGAAGAGACAAGCUAGAGAGUUGCAACUGAUAUGUUCAGGGAGUGCCAGUUUAUGUUGCAUUACCAACUAUUCCAUAGCAUUUUGUGACAAAUUUCAGUCCACCAGUCAACCUAUUCCCCUCAUGAAUCCGCCAAAGCAGUUCUUGGCAUUCACUCUCCGUGUAAAUAGUUGGAUCCUCCUCGACACCCAGCUCAGUACACUCCAUCCGAUCAAUCUUUAAGACCCUCCAGUGAGCCCUGCUCUUGUCUCUUCCAAUAAGGUAAAAUUUCUACACCAAAAAGGCGCACACAUAUUAACAACAACAGUUGGACAUUAGAUAAAAUGCUUGUGAGUUUCAACAUCAAAACUAUCUCCAGUAAAUCAAUGGAACAGUAUGCUAAGGACAAAUAUUGAACAACACCUAUUGCCUAAUGUACCAGUAUCUAAAUCUUCAUCUCUAAAUCGAGCUGGUUAUCCUUGAAACUUGAGAAAAGAAACUUGUGCAUACACAAUCAGUAGCUGAAAGCUUAUAUUAUAAGCAGAAGGCUGUUACGCAUCAGGAGCCACUGUACACAAUAGUAAAAUUGAAACAUCAUUCCAGCAAACGAUUUAACUUGCCUGAAACAACUGUAUAGAAAUAACAAAAAAAAAAGGAACAGCCUUUUUGUUUUCAUCCCCUUGCCUCUUUGCAAAAGAAACAAAAGGAUAUUCGUCUACUUUUUGCAGCCUUUUACCCUUUCCAGUAACCUAAUUGAACCGAACCUAUCAUAAAGUACACCCAUCACGCGGUUCAAGCAUUAAAUCGCACAAGAACUUAAUCAACCAUUUUACCCAAAAAAAACACAAACCCAUUGUAACAAAGUCAAGCACAGCGUGUUUACUAAUAUAUAGAGAUCUCAAGUUUGGAGAACCUGCAAUUGAAACCAAAUCAAGCGAGUACUGAGGAAACAGGAUUUGCAGGAGAU